Molecule: small nuclear RNA, 107 nt
Organism: Phyllostomus hastatus (greater spear-nosed bat)
Lineage: Eukaryota; Metazoa; Chordata; Mammalia; Chiroptera; Phyllostomidae
Source: RefSeq, a predicted model, not a curated record
GUGCUCACUUCAGCAGCACAUACACUAAAAUAUGAAUGAUACAGAGAAGAUUAGCAUGGCCCCUGUGCAAGGAUGGCAUGCAAAUUUGUGAAGCAUUCUAUAUUUUA